UCUCUCUGUAGCUCAGUUGGUUAGAGCGCUGCACUGGAAUCACAGGGCUGCAGGUUCGAUUCUGCCAGAGGAC
This 73-nucleotide transfer RNA is filed under the name Paramuricea clavata. RNAcentral's name for it is "tRNA-Ser". It matches the Rfam family "tRNA". From Rfam's summary of the family: Transfer RNA (tRNA) molecules are approximately 80 nucleotides in length. Their secondary structure includes four short double-helical elements and three loops (D, anti-codon, and T loops). The record is from RNAcentral. Lineage: Eukaryota; Metazoa; Cnidaria; Anthozoa; Malacalcyonacea; Plexauridae.